GAUCCCGUAGCUCAGCCGGUAGAGCAUCUGACUUUUAAUCAGAGGGUCACGCGUUCGAAUCGCGUCGGGGUCA
RNAcentral lists this transfer RNA (73 nucleotides) under Wolbachia pipientis. RNAcentral describes it as "tRNA-Lys". It matches the Rfam family "tRNA". Rfam says of the family: Transfer RNA (tRNA) molecules are approximately 80 nucleotides in length. Their secondary structure includes four short double-helical elements and three loops (D, anti-codon, and T loops). The record is from RNAcentral. Lineage: Bacteria; Pseudomonadati; Pseudomonadota; Alphaproteobacteria; Rickettsiales; Anaplasmataceae.